This 492-nucleotide ribosomal RNA is filed under the name uncultured bacterium. RNAcentral describes it as "partial 16S ribosomal RNA". It matches the Rfam family "Bacterial small subunit ribosomal RNA", at positions 29 to 507 of the family's 1533-position model. The record is from RNAcentral.
AGUGAGCGCUGGCGGUAGGCCUAACACAUGCAAGUCGAACGGCAGCACAGUAAGAGCUUGCUCUUACGGGUGGCGAGUGGCGGACGGGUGAGGAAUACAUCGGAAUCUACUUUUUCGUGGGGGAUAACGUAGGGAAACUUACGCUAAUACCGCAUACGACCUACGGGUGAAAGCAGGGGAUCUUCGGACCUUGCGCGAUUGAAUGAGCCGAUGUCGGAUUAGCUAGUUGGCGGGGUAAAGGCCCACCAAGGCGACGAUCCGUAGCUGGUCUGAGAGGAUGAUCAGCCACACUGGAACUGAGACACGGUCCAGACUCCUACGGGAGGCAGCAGUGGGGAAUAUUGGACAAUGGGCGCAAGCCUGAUCCAGCCAUACCGCGUCGGUGAAGAAGGCCUUCGGGUUGUAAAGCCCUUUUGUUGGGAAAGAAAAGCAGUAGGUUAAUACCCCGCUGUUCUGACGGUACCCAAAGAAUAAGCACCGGCUAACUUCGUG